RNA transcript from Zea mays, 1384 nucleotides. It is a transcript of the gene named protein-like pseudogene, with no coding region annotated. The record is from RefSeq and is marked validated. The transcript is spliced from 5 exons. Lineage: Eukaryota; Viridiplantae; Streptophyta; Magnoliopsida; Poales; Poaceae.
CCGCAAUGCAGCCGCCACGAGACCCCAUCACCGCGCGAGCCAUCCCCGGCGUCGACGCCUCCUCCACGGCUGUAGUCGCCACCGCGCCCACCGAGGUCCCGCUAGCAUGGCCCCCGACCUCGUCGCUCAGUGUUGGUGCGAGAUCGAGGCCAUCAGCCCCACCACGCCGCGAUCCGCCAACACUGCUGACCCGGGCUCCUCGCCCUCUGCCUUCGACUCUGACACCGGCUCGUCGCUCGGCCACAUCGGCUGCCUACGCUCGAUCCGUCGUGCCGCCUCUCCGUCCUUAUUCGUCGCGUUCGUCCUCGGCUUCCUCUUCUGCCUUCCCCGCGAUGCCUCCCCGCGUCAUCGCCCACCAGCGUCAUCGCGUAGGCCUCACUCGAGACAGACAUGGCAGUGGAUUGGGUGUUUGGUUCUCUUUGCAGCAAUUGGAGGCGAACAGGAAGACACUGUAGAGGCACUCUCGCGCGCUGUUCAACGCAGUGGCAACAGAGGUGGCAUCAAGGGGCACCGAUGGCGGCAACACGCUGUCGCAGCGUGUGGUGGAGAGACAGUGUAGGUCAGACCUGGCAAACAGGACAUGGGAGACGGACAUGAUCUCCAUGCAGGAGAACAUGUCUGCCAGGACACUCACGCUCUCUAGCUCCGCGCAGCGGACAAUUGUGCGGUUCGUUAAGCUGCCAUUGGUUGACAAGAUCCCUCUGCAUACCGCUUGGAUCUCCCUGGAAAAGUUACUGGUAUUCUUGUGUUCAUAUGUUUUGCAAUCGGCUAACCAUGGGCAUUAUUUUGUGAUAUUCAUGGUCAUUCUAAGGAGAUUGGACUUUAUGCGUAAUGGGUCGUGCAAGUAUACUUGCGUUUAUUUGCUUGAUUAAUUCGUGAUAUUGAUGAAGAAAUUCCAGAUCCAGAGGAAUAGAAACACUUUUUCACAAAGGGAGAAGAUCAUUUGCGCUACAGUGCGACGACGCCCAGGGCCAAGGUGCUGAAGGAGGUGAGGAACGUCGCAGUAAUGAUCUCCAUGGAGAAGGGUGCGAUGGCCAGAGGUAGUGGGCAUCACCAGCACGGCGGCCACAGGCACGAUGGCUAGCAGCAACAGCAAUUGCUGCUUCAACGACAAGCGUGCGCGAGCUCUGAGCAGACUCAAGCGAUCCUAUCAUGUAGUUCAUUGUAUUUCACCAUUCAUUUUUCUUUUUUUACGUCCAUGUGAGAUGAGGUUGUUCGUUCGGCGAGUGGAGUGGUGGGAAAGCCACAGAGGUAUACGAGAUUUAUGUUAAUCCCCCACCCCAAAGAGUCUUCCCUAUCCAUCUCGCUGAAAUGUGGCGACGCUUAGAUAUCGUGUCAUCAUACUGGGACGCUUUUAUUGCACGCAACGUGUGAUCUUGUUUCU